UCCCUGGUGGUCUAGUGGCUAGGAUUCGGCGCUUUCACCGCCGCGGCCCCGGUUUGAUUCCCGGUCUGGGAA
Molecule: transfer RNA, 72 nt
Organism: Gorilla gorilla gorilla (western lowland gorilla)
Lineage: Eukaryota; Metazoa; Chordata; Mammalia; Primates; Hominidae
Rfam family: tRNA
About the family: Transfer RNA (tRNA) molecules are approximately 80 nucleotides in length. Their secondary structure includes four short double-helical elements and three loops (D, anti-codon, and T loops).
Source: Rfam